AGGCUCUAGAAUUCUAGAACAUCUAAAACACAUAUUUCCUACUUCCUUUAUAGAAGAAUAUCGGGGUAAAAAGUUGGACAAUUAAAAGACGCUGCGCUCCAAUGCCUUCUCUGUAAAUUCAAUCUGCAUUUCCAGAAACCCUAGAACAGGCAAACACAAACACAGACUCCAUUUAGCUGGUAAAAGGAGAUCAAAGGCAGGAGCUUUUGAGAUCAAACGGCUCUGAAUUGUUCACGAAGGGUUUGAGCAUUCAGAUUGAUUGUUACGUCCACCAUGAGAUUCAAGAAAGGGAGUAAGGUGGAGGUAUUGAACAAGACAGAGGUGCCUUCAGGUUCAUGGCGUUGUGGUGAGAUCAUAUCUGGUAAUGGCCACAAUUACAGUGUGAGGUAUGAUUGUUCUUCAGGAUUGACAAGUGAGGCUGUUGUGGAGAGGGUGUCUAGGAAGACCAUUAGGCCUUCUCCUCCUCUUGUGGAUGGUGUAAAGAGUUGGAUGGUUGGUGAUGUUGUGGAGGUGUUCAAUGAUUUUUGUUGGAAAAUUGCCAGGGUUUUGACCCUUAUCGGUGGAGGUUGCUAUUUUGUGAGGCUGCUUGGGUCUCGUCAGGAAUUGUCAAUACACAAAUCUAACAUCAGGCUGCGGCAAUCAUGGCAAGAUGAUAAGUGGGUUGUCAUUGGAAAGGGUCCUAGUACCUCUAGAGAUGUGAGAUUUAACAUGCCACCAACUGUGAAUUGUUACCAGAAGAGCUUCCUGGAACUGCCAGCUGACACAAAAAGGAAAGAGGCUCCUGCAGGUGAAUGUUUAGCACUUUGGCAUAAUGCUGGCCUUGCUUCAAAAUUUCUGGAAGGAGCAUCCUCGUAUCGCAGUACUCAUUUUGAAGCAUAUGGUGGAAACAGUAGGAAAAGGAGAGUGAUUGAGACAGAGGCUAGGCGUCAACGAGUGUUUCCUGCCUCACCACUGGGAAAGGUAGAUGCUGUAGCUCACCCAGGAAAAAAUCUGGGUGAAAAAUACGUGCAUGCUUCCUUUAACAAGCAAACAAUUGGGUACUAUGAAUUUGAAAGGCGAAAAGAAAAUGGUGUUGUUGAGUGUUCUCUUGCAGGAAAGUUAGAAGCUAAUGAUUCUAAUAGUGAUGCUUGCUCUGUUGGUAAUAGUAGUGUUGCCAGUAACAGUCCAAACAAGUCGUCCAGUUGUUUUUUAGUGGGUACUAGUCGGGAUACAGAUGCACUUUGUAGUGAUGCGGAGUCUUCUUCCUCUAAAGUAAUUAAGGAGGAAAAAUGUCCCUUUCGUUCUAAAGAGGAAUUAGCAGCAGGAGUCCAUAUGUUAGGGUUGCAUUCUUACCGCAACACUCUAGAGGCAUUGUAUGCUUCUGGUCCCUUGAGUUGGGAACAAGAAGCAGUGUUGACAAAUCUUCGUCUUUCACUGAACAUUUCAAAUGAUGAACAUUCAAGGGAGCUUAGAAACUUAAUUUCUUUUGGGACAAGCCCUCAUAUUAGUUAUAUGUAAAUCAAGGAGUUUUUUGUUUUUUGUUUUUUGUUUUAAAAUAGUACAUCAUUCAGUUUGCUUUACUUGGCUCUUCCAAUGCCCUUGCAACACUGUAAGAAGCCAUCCAAUCUGUUACAUACCAUAGCUUUUCUCUUUAGUUUUUUCUUCCCCCCACCUCUCUUUGUAGUGAUCUAGACAGUGAAUUGCUGUAACUUGAAAUUUAUUAUGUAUUGAAAUUCUUCCAUAGAAAUGAAUACAUAAUGACUCCUUUUGGUUUUACUUUUGUAUUUCUGUUGGGUUUGUAGUGCUUAACUAUUUUGAUUGGAUAUUUUGAGUAACUUUUAAUUACUACAAGGGGUAAUUCUGAAAAAAUGUGAAAAUAUAAUUAGCAGCUACAAAUUCUGUGCUGUUUGGAUUCCCAAACAUAUAUCUUUUGUGGCUCUGUAUGGGUUUUAUGGAACUUUUUUGGCAGUUGUUCUAAGAGACUAACACGACCAUAUCUCAAGGUGAUUAAGGAAGUGUUUUUUAAUUUUAUUUGCAGAGUAAAAAAUCAAACUUCCAUCAUUCUCUCUUUUAUUUUUUUUUUCUUUUAAUGAGUGCCAGAAAAUUUUCUGUUUAUAAAAAUUACAAAACUGCAACCUUUCGUACCUCUGUAAUUGGUUAUAGGGUUUUCUAACUGGAAUCCAAAGCUGGAUGUUAAAAUGUCAUUGUAUCUUCUGGCCAGUGGAAAUCAUGCUAGUUACUUUCUUCACACAUUUCCCAUUUCUUUUUGGAUUUCAUUACAUUAUGGAUUUAUAUAAUACUCUGAAGAAGAGGUUAUAUUAUGCUCUUCUGUUUUGUCAUUAGCAUCUUUAUAAACCAAAUUCAGAAUAGCUUCAGUUCCUCCAUAGUCCAUAUUAUUUGGGAGCAUGGGAAAUCUCAUUUGAGGCUGUUAUUAAUGAAUCCCCUGCAUUUUCCAGGGCCAAAGUUGGAGGCAUGAAUGCAUUGCUUCCAAGGGUCUAAAGAUGAUACCACUUUCUCUUGGUGUAGGCACUGGGGCAAUAUCUGCGAUCAAUUUCCUACAAUUAAUGCAAUUCAUGGCUUCCCACUGGAAUCAUUAUUUGCUCUGGUUCAAUGAUAUCUUUCACUUCUGGUCAGCUGUGAACUCUCAACACAUCUUGUGCUGAAAGAAGUGAACCAGUACUCUUAAAGAGCUGCCAUGAAUAUCCUGAUAUGGAAGAAUGAAUCCAAUGGCGGACACAAUCGAUAUUUGAUUGGAGAAUUUGAGUCUUAAAGACAAUAAACACUGGCAAAAAAACAAAUGAUCAACUACCAAUUUCAAUAUACAAAGAGAUUUAUGAGUUGUUUAUGGCACUAGAAUUGCACAGAACUCAAGAUUCAAUGAUGAAAAGAGUGAUGCUUGAGAGUGAAUUACAAGCUGCUUACGGCUCUUGAAUUGCCCGAAAAACUAUGGCGACAUGCGAGAACAAAGGUAGCAAGCUUGACUUCUUCCAGAGAAGAAGCAGAGGAAAGUUGUGAGCUUGCAUUUCUCAUUUGCAGAAUGGCGUCUCAACCGUCGGAAGCAUGGACCACUGUUGGAUUCCAUGGUAUAGAGAGAAAGCAAUGUAGGGAGGCGGGGGUGGGGGUGGGGGUGGGAGAAGCAGAUGGGAUGUGUGAGGGAAUAUACCAGCCUAGUUUUAUUGCUUUCUCUCACUUUUUUUAAAUCAUAAUGUUUUCUUUGUGCUCAUUUCUUUAUGUUCAAAUGAACUAAAAAUAAAAAAUUAAUGUGUUUUUAAGGGUUAUUUUGGUCUCUUGAAUAAUUUGAUGAUUCAAUGGGUAUCCCAAUCCAAACAUGGGUGGGCUGUUAAUUAUAGCCAGCCCAGGCUAGUCUACUUCUGUGCAGACCAGUCCAGUCCUGGAAGCCUUAGCAACCAAACCGAACACAUCCUAAGCUUUAUUAGGAGUACUUGCUGGUUUAAGUUGUGCCGGAUCCACAUUUUAUAGUGCUCUUCAAAUUGAAAUUAGGAGUUAAUAAAUAGAUGCCUUGAAUACUUGAUGGGGUAAUCCAGAAGCUUGGGUGCCAUAAAUGUAGUCUUAUGAGAGGCGUUUAUGCUGGUAUGAAGUUAUCACCUAUCAAUGGGAAAAUCAAAGAUCAGGAUUGUUUGCUGGAGGAUCUUCUUUUCUCUCUUUUUUUUUUUUUGGAGGGUGGAGGUGGGUUUGGGGGGGGGGUGGUGGGGAGGGUUUCUUGCUUGUUCUGUUGGCCGCUAUCCUCUUGAUUGUCACUGCACACUCAAUUUCACUCUGUAUUUUUUUUUUUUGGUGUUAAAAUGUUUGGUUUAUCACUUCUAUAUAUUUUUUUAAUGUGUGAAAAAGUUUGGUUGCAGCAUCCUGAAAGAAAAACCUUGUCACUUGGUACUUCUGACGAAACAAUAAUUGCUUCUGCCCUCAGAUAAUUUCCUUGGAUGCAAGGUUUUAUUUCUUCCUUCUAUUUGACAUGUGCUACCUUUGUUAGAUUAUAUUAUAUGAUCAUGACAUUGUUUUUAUCUUCAUGUUUACAAUAUAAACAAUAGCAGAUUAUGAAGCAGUGCCGCUUAUGGAUUUUUCAGGGUUUUAUCCACGUGGGUAUCAACUAAGUUUGAUGUUCACAGCCCAGUAGUGGUAAUUUUUAUUUUUAUUUUAUUUUUAUUAUUGCUUUUUUGUGGUCUUAUGGCAUUCCAAUAUCUUAGAACUUCCUUGAUUCUGGUGACUGGGGACUGGAUUUAGGUCCUUGGAUUUAUCUAACCAGCAGGCAUACCAUCUUCAAAAGGUUUCUUUGUGUUGAUUUUGGGAAACAUUGUUUGGUGAGGCUAAGAGCAUGGAAAUAAAGGCAUCCGUAAUGCAGGGAGAGUAUUUUUCUUUUGAUUCAUAUGGUUGGUCAGAGAGGGAGAAAAAGAGAGGAAGAAUGUAACUUGAGUUAGACCAAGGCUUCAUUUAAGUCAUAACAAACAUUACUUUGUGAAGAUAAGAUUGAUUAACUUUUGUCAAGUUAUUUUGUGGUUUGAUUCUUAUGGUUUAUCCCAAAAAAGAGAGAAAGUGGGCUAUAGGCUUCAAUCAAGGCAUAAUAGAUGCUAGUGAAAUUAAGUUUGAGAAACACCUAGUAAGCAUUUUUUUUUUUUAAUAAACAGUAACAAAUGCCACUCAGUUUAUCACAAGCUGCACAAUGUCGUUUUUAUAAGUUACCAUCCCGAAUGGCAUCUUAGAUGAUUAUGAUUGUUUUGAAGCUGGUUUGAAAUAGCAUGUCUGCUUGUAGCUAGAAAAGGAGCUGCACUUGUUGCAAAUUUUUUGGGAAAAUAUUUAUUGACAAACUUCUCUUGCUUUUUUGUAUUUUUUGAGGUGACACAUGCCACAUCAUAUAUACUGUCUCAUUUAUUUUUUAGAACGCAUGAUAGAAUGUUACAUCAAAUGAGUAGAAAAUGAGUGCAUAAAUAUAUGUUGCAUUAUUCUUUCUAUUUAGCCGACCCCAUCUAGUGGGAACUAAGGCUUUGUUUUGUUUUUAUUAUUCUUUCCUUUUAUUUUUCUCAGGAUGAUGAGCAUAAUCCAGAGAGAUUGUGCCUUUUAUAUGAGGAUGGUUCAAGUUCUUCAUCCAUCAUCAUGCAAAGAGCAGAUUCCACAUGGAAAUAAGGUUAACAGACUUUCAUGGCUUUCCAAAUGGGGAAUCAUUUCAAAGGUUGAAGAGGGUUAACCAGUUCCAUUGAAGACUGGUCGGUGGUGUAUUAAAGUAUGAGAUUGCUUGCAUUGGAAAGGUAUUAUGUUCAAUGGAGGGAGGUUGAGUCUCUAUGAAUGUUUCUAUUUUUGAAAGUAUUGCACGGGACAAGAAAUGGAAUAGAAGAAAAAAUUGAAUGGAGGACAAAUAGAGAUACACUAACAAAUUCGAUUUCAUCCCAUUCCUGUGUUUGCAUAAAGCUGCAAUGAAGAAAUUCGCUGUAGGAACUUGAUUUGCAAUAUCUAUUGCUUAGCUGAGGAAUUGGCAAAUUUUAGGCUCACCUUUGUACCAGCUCUUGUAUACUGCAUCCAUUUAAUAAAAUGAGCUAAAUGUGUUAUUUUUCAUUUAUGCUCAACUAAGAAUAGA
This is an RNA transcript of Malania oleifera, 5563 nucleotides long. RefSeq lists it as uncharacterized. The transcript has 4 exons. Lineage: Eukaryota; Viridiplantae; Streptophyta; Magnoliopsida; Santalales; Ximeniaceae. The record is from RefSeq and is a predicted model, not a curated record.